RNAcentral lists this RNase P RNA (408 nucleotides) under Kiloniellaceae bacterium. RNAcentral's name for it is "Bacterial RNase P class A". It matches the Rfam family "Bacterial RNase P class A". Rfam says of the family: Ribonuclease P (RNase P) is a ubiquitous endoribonuclease, found in archaea, bacteria and eukarya as well as chloroplasts and mitochondria. Its best characterised activity is the generation of mature 5'-ends of tRNAs by cleaving the 5'-leader elements of precursor-tRNAs. Cellular RNase Ps are ribonucleoproteins. The record is from Rfam by way of RNAcentral. Lineage: Bacteria; Pseudomonadati; Pseudomonadota; Alphaproteobacteria; Rhodospirillales; Kiloniellaceae.
CCAGACGGCCGGAUGGCCGCCUUCGGCGCUCUUGGGCGCCGGGGGAGGAAAGUCCGGGCUCCACGGAAACAGGGUGCCGGAUAACGCCCGGCGGGGGCGACCCCAGGGAAAGUGCCACAGAAAGCAAACCGCCCUGCGUAGCGCCGAGAGGCGCGCAGCAGGGUAAGGGUGAAAGGGUGCGGUAAGAGCGCACCGCGCCCCCGGCAACGGGGGCGGCACGGCAAACCCCACCCGGAGCAAGAUCAAGUAGGGACGGCCGGCCGGUUCUUCGGAAUGCGGCCACGCGGGUUUCCGCGCCGCCGUCCGGGUCGAUCGCGCGAGGCGCCCGGCAACGGGCGUCCCAGAUGAAUGGCCAUCCAUGCGGGUCCGCCCGCGGGACAGAACCCGGCUUACAGGCCGUCUGGCGUU